UUUUAACUUUAGUCGAAAAACAAAAAGAACAAAAGAAACACUUAGCCAAAAAAAUCUUUUCAUCUAUCCUUUCACUCUCUCGCUCUGCACAUCGUCUUCGAUUACUUUUCUCCUGUAAACAACACAUCUCCUGGGUUUAGGUUUGUAUCGAUUUAGGGUUAGAUUUGUAUCGAUUUAGGGUUUAGUAUCAUGUUCUCAAUUUGUUGUUGUUGAGGGGAGGAGAUGGAUCUGAUUCGGAAACCUUUGGGGAUUCAACAGAACCGUCGGAUUCAACACCAUUCUCGCCGGAGCCACCAAAAAUUGGGACUACGUUUGGUUAUUGGUUUGUGCUUCGUUUAGGCGAUGAGGCUUUAGAACGGUCUGAGCAGAUGUUCAAGGUACAAGCUGUGGAGCUUAGGUUAUUAUUGGUGGAGCAAGGUUCAGUAUGGUCAUCUAAUUGCUCAAUACCAGUGUUCUUCUCUCUUACGGUGUUUAAGAUGUAAUGGUUUUCAUGUCUUGAACUUGUUUUAAGCAUACGUCAAAAUUGAGUUGAGUUUGGAGCCAUAGAGUUGAGUUUUGUUCUGGAUAAACUUCUUGGUAAGAAACAGCGAAAUCAGGAGAGAAGAAAGAUGAUGCUGUUAAGGUGAAAGCUCCUGCAAUAGAGAAGGCACCAGCAGAAAGACAAACAACAUCUAUUAAGGAAGACAAGUGAAGACACUGUUUCUGAAGACAAAACCAUAUGGGUAUUAGUAGCUUCCACAGUUGAUGCAGAAAGAAGGCUUUGAAGCUUUUUGCCACCAACUUGUGGAAAUGGAACAAGAGGUUGUGAGCAAGUUCAGUGACCAUACUAGUCUUUGAUUUCAAUUCUUUUAGGUGUUGUGUUAAGUAGUUCUUUGGUUUAAGCUUGUAUCAGAUUUUGUAAUACAUUGAUCAUAUAUUUGUUUCUAUUAUAAAUUUGUGUUUAUCAGA
Camelina sativa (false flax) is the source of this 948-nucleotide long non-coding RNA. RefSeq lists it as uncharacterized. The record is from RefSeq and is a predicted model, not a curated record. Lineage: Eukaryota; Viridiplantae; Streptophyta; Magnoliopsida; Brassicales; Brassicaceae.